GGGGCCGGAUUGGUUUCGACAGCAGGGACAGUGGAUUAGCUUGCAUGCCGAGGAUGGGAUGUGACCUCGUAAAUCAUCAUUCCAAACAAAUAAAUGGCAACGAUUAUUCUGUUGCAUUAGCUGCCUAAUCUAGAGAUUAGAAGCUAAUUGCCUCCCCAGAAGCUGUGCUCAAUGGCGUCUGGGAUAAGGUAUCAUAAAAAUUGAGCUCACUUAGAGUGAAGCUACGACCUCUAAGUGAUAUAUUGUAGCUUUGGAAUUUGGUGGGAGCCUAUCCCCUAACCAAAUUCUGAAAUAUAAUAGAUAGGCUAAGCAUGUAGACAGCUAUUUUGCUGACUGCUUGGACGAGGGUUCGACUCCCUCCGGCUCCAUUU
Molecule: transfer-messenger RNA, 371 nt
Filed under: Bacteroidales
Lineage: Bacteria; Pseudomonadati; Bacteroidota; Bacteroidia
Also listed under: 3 other names
Description: DTU049 sp001512885 Standard tmRNA
Rfam family: transfer-messenger RNA
About the family: Bacterial tmRNA, also known as 10Sa RNA or SsrA, is named for its dual tRNA and mRNA-like properties. Its role is to liberate the mRNA from a stalled ribosome. To accomplish this part of the tmRNA is used as a reading frame that ends in a translation stop signal.
Source: RNAcentral